AUGAAACUCUUGUCAUGGAACUGCCGGGGUCUCGGGAAUGAACCGGCAGUUCAAGCUUUGUUGGACGUCCAACGAAGUACCCAUCCCGAUGUGAUGUUCUUGUCGGAGACUCACCUCGAUAGCUAUCCGGCUGAAUGUCUGAGAUGUCGUUUGAAGAUGGAUCAAAAACUGGUUUGCACUAGUAAUGGGAGAAGUGGUGGUUUAUUGUUACUAUGGAAAAAUAAUAUUGUAGUUCAGAGAUUGGGGUUAGACCCCAAGUUUAUUGAUGUAUAG
This 273-nucleotide ribosomal RNA is filed under the name Triticum aestivum (bread wheat). Its description in RNAcentral is "partial small subunit ribosomal RNA". Lineage: Eukaryota; Viridiplantae; Streptophyta; Magnoliopsida; Poales; Poaceae. The record is from RNAcentral.